AGUGAACGCUGGCGGCAGGCCUAAUACAUGCAAGUCGAACGGCAGCACAGCAGAGCUUGCUCUGUGGGUGGCGAGUGGCGGACGGGUGAGGAAUACAUGGGAAUCUGCCCAGUCGUGGGGGAUAACGUAGGGAAACUUACGCUAAUACCGCAUGCGCCCUUCGGGGGAAAGCCGGGGACCUUCGGGCCUGGCGCGAUUGGAUGAGCCCAUGUCGGAUUAGCUAGUUGGCGGGGUAAAGGCCCACCAAGGCGACGAUCCGUAGCUGGUCUGAGAGGAUGAUCAGCCACACUGGAACUGAGACACGGUCCAGACUCCUAACGGGAGCAGCAGUAGGGAAUAUUGGGACAAUGGGCGCAAGCCUGAUCCAGCCAUGCCGCGUGAGUGAAGAAGGCCCUCGGGUUGUAAGCUCUUUUGUCCGGAAAGAAAGCGCCGGGUUAAUACCCGUGGUGUCCUGACGGGUACCGGAAGAAUAAGCACCGGCUAACUUCGUGCCGCAGCCGG
This 501-nucleotide ribosomal RNA is filed under the name uncultured bacterium. Its description in RNAcentral is "bacterial SSU rRNA". It matches the Rfam family "Bacterial small subunit ribosomal RNA", at positions 29 to 518 of the family's 1533-position model. The record is from RNAcentral.